RNAcentral lists this ribosomal RNA (491 nucleotides) under uncultured bacterium. RNAcentral describes it as "partial 16S ribosomal RNA". It matches the Rfam family "Bacterial small subunit ribosomal RNA", at positions 29 to 506 of the family's 1533-position model. The record is from RNAcentral.
AGUGAACGCUGGCGGUAGGCCUAACACAUGCAAGUCGAACGGCAGCACAGUAAGAGCUUGCUCUUACGGGUGGCGAGUGGCGGACGGGUGAGGAAUACAUCGGAAUCUACUUUUUCGUGGGGGAUAACAUAGGGAAACUUACGCUAAUACCGCAUACGACCUACGGGUGAAAGCAGGGGAUCUUCGGACCUUGCGCGAUUGAAUGAGCCGAUGUCGGAUUAGCUAGUUGGCGGGGUAAAGGCCCACCAAGGCGACGAUCCGUAGCUGGUCUGAGAGGAUGAACAGGCACACCGGGAACGAGGAAACGGUCCAGACCCUACGGGAGGCAGCAGUGGGGAAUAUUGGACAAUGGGCGCAAGCCUGAUCCAGCCAUACCGCGUGGGUGAAGAAGGCCUUCGGGUUGUAAAGCCCUUUUGUUGGGAAAGAAAAGCAGCAGGUUAAUACCCCGCUGUUCUGACGGUACCCAAAGAAUAAACACCGGCUAACUUCGU